CAUGAAAUUCUUAAAGGGGACCCUAAUUGGAGUGAGACUUCACCAUUGAGAUGCUCCUGUCGGAUAUCACACAAUCGGCCACCUGCACAUGACACAAAUUAUGUGUCCGUACAAGACGACUUGUCAACGACUCUUUGGGACAUUUGUGAAAACAGGAGGACAGCCAGCCAAACCGACUCCCGUUUAUCACAAAAUAAAGACAAAUGUUCAUUUGAGGUGAACUGCAUUACAGAAAUGCCACCCUGCGGCAAAGCACAAAAAUCACCAGGAUAUGGGGUUGGGGUGAAGGAAGAAAGUGAACACGCUCAGAGUCCCUCAAGGUGCUAACUGAACAUGAGUCUUUUCCAGGGCAGCACCUGGAGACUCCGUAUCCAGUGUUUGUGACACGCUGUUGCCCAUGGCUGCCUUCCAGCAGUGCUUCUUCAGGGAUCCGAGCAUGUAGAACAGGAGCUGGAACAACCGCCCGGAAUCUUCAGCC
Molecule: long non-coding RNA, 478 nt
Organism: Cyprinus carpio (common carp)
Lineage: Eukaryota; Metazoa; Chordata; Actinopteri; Cypriniformes; Cyprinidae
Source: Ensembl